Molecule: long non-coding RNA, 1443 nt
Organism: Lotus japonicus
Lineage: Eukaryota; Viridiplantae; Streptophyta; Magnoliopsida; Fabales; Fabaceae
Exons: 2
Source: RefSeq, a predicted model, not a curated record
ACUCAAUUCCAAUACUCUCUUUCACAUUUAGCCACCUCAUCUAUUUUUAAAAAAAUUUCAUAUUCUCUCUCCUUUUCCUCUAUCCGUAAAAUACACGCGCCCCCUCCUUGCUUGGUUAUUUUCAUUUUACUCAGCAGUUACGUUCUUCUCUCAUUCUUCAAAAACUCUUUACCAAAUUCAAAUGCAAAAUCAACGCAUUUGUUUCUCAUUCAUUUCUCAUCUCAUCUGGUUCUUCUCAUCUCAUUUUGCAUUCUGUUUCUCAUUCAAAUUCAAAUGCAAAAUCAACGGAAAAGCCUCAAUUUGGUAAUCCAUGUUUGGUAUUUUUUCAAGGUUAUUUCCUCUCUUUAGAUUUUGCCUCUCGCCUGGUAAUCCAUCUCUCACUAGGUUAUCUGCACCUCACUUUAGCCCCAAUUUCCUAUGUCUCCUGAUAUUUCCUUCCAAAAUCAAUUUUAGGUUUUGGUAGAUUGUUUCUAAAGUGCGAUGCGAAAUUUGAAUUUUGUUUCUACAGAUGUCAAUUUUGCUAGAUUGCUUCUUCAAUGCAAUAUGAAAUUGCUUCUACAGUGCGAUUUUUGGGAGAUUUUACCUCUGCAGUGCGAGAGUUCUGUUUUCGCCAUGAGAGAUUCGAAUCCCUAAUUUUAGGAUGCAAUUAUGUAUUCUGCUCUCAUGAAUCCCCGAGUUCAACAUCAGACAUCUAAAAAGAGAAACUAAGGUUGGGAACUUGAUGAGAAGCAGUUUGAAAAUCAUGAUUAAAUGAUCUGUCAAUCAUUCUUCCUAUAUAUGUUGAUACUUGCAAUCACAUGAGUAAGUUUUAAAAUCUACCAUGUAUACUAUAAAUUUGAAUCCUCACUUUGAAGGGCUAGACACUCAAAUUAUACACUCACACAUAGCCACAUCUGUCUUUUUUUAACAACUCAUUGUCUCUAAUUCCCAGUCUAUCACGUGCCUUUUCUCCUGAUUAUCAAAUACAUAUGUAAUGGAAUGCAAGUUGCAUCUUUUGUUUUGCAGUACAUUCUGUAUGGUAUUGCAGUUAAGUUUAUUAUAGACUACAUGAAGGGAGAGUAUCCCAUGGUCCACUGAAGAAAUAUUUUUUGAUUUUAAAGUAGUAUCAUAUUUAUAAUCUAGGUCUUUACCUAUUCAUGUUUGAUAUACUUUGGCAGAAGAAUAGCUGUGUUGUUUCAGGUCUGAUUAUGCAGCUUUUUUUCUCACUUUGAAGUCUCUAGAAGUGGUAAAAUGCUACUGGUUUUGAGGUGCUGAGGCGUGGUCCAUCAAUUGAAGAAGAUUGCAUUGUCUUGGAUCAAUUAAAGGUUGUUUGUUGGGUGCUGUUUUUCUGUUUUGCUGUUCUAUUCUAUUAGUUUUGCUUUUAGCUUUUUCUUGUACUGUCAUCUUUUGUCUUUGUUACUUGCUGUGAGUUAUCUAUGUUGUCUAUUAUGACUCUUUAUUUAA